Molecule: ribosomal RNA, 497 nt
Filed under: uncultured bacterium
Lineage: Bacteria
Description: partial 16S ribosomal RNA
Rfam family: Bacterial small subunit ribosomal RNA
Source: RNAcentral
GAUGAACGCUGGCGGCGUGCCUAAUACAUGCAAGUCGAGCGAACAGAUGAGGAGCUUGCUCCUCUGACGUUAGCGGCGGACGGGUGAGUAACACGUGGAUAACCUACCUAUAAGACUGGGAUAACUUCGGGAAACCGGAGCUAAUACCGGAUAAUAUAUUGAACCGCAUGGUUCAAUAGUGAAAGACGGUUUUGCUGUCACUUAUAGAUGGAUCCGCGCCGCAUUAGCUAGUUGGUAAGGUAACGGCUUACCAAGGCGACGAUGCGUAGCCGACCUGAGAGGGUGAUCGGCCACACUGGAACUUAGACACGGUCCAGACUCCUACGGGAGGCAGCAGUAGGGAAUCUUCCGCAAUGGGCGAAAGCCUGACGUAGCAACGCCGCGUGAGUGAUGAAGGUCUUCGGAUCGUAAAACUCUGUUAUUAGGGAAGAACAAAUGUGUAAGUAACUAUGCACGUCUUGACGGUACCUAAUCAGAAAGCCACGGCUAACUACGUA